Molecule: unclassified non-coding RNA, 4120 nt
Filed under: Polistes dominula (European paper wasp)
Lineage: Eukaryota; Metazoa; Arthropoda; Insecta; Hymenoptera; Vespidae
Description: uPF0047 protein YjbQ-like, transcript variant X1
Source: RNAcentral
GUGUUUUAGAAUAUUGAAAUAAUUAUUAAUUAUUCGAAGUAAAUGUGCAUUGUUGUUUAAAAGCAUCGUAGAUACACCGUCUCCCUCGAAAUUUACCUUCAGACUGACACGUUGUUGUCUUCUAUGAAAAUUUUUUUUAUUAAACAUUGUUUAUAUGACUUUCCAAACGUUGCGCAUGAGCAUAACACAUUUAUUACAAUAUAACUUGAUUAUAUUAUAUACUGUAUUCGCUUGAAGUUGCAACUAUCGCCUGCUGGUGAUCCCGGUGAUAACUAAGAAGAUGUUGGUUACACGAAAAGUAGACUUGUGAGCUUCUAUGUACUACAGCUGUAUUCUUUAAACAUAUCCAUGUGGUAUAUCUAAAGGUAACCGAGUUGGGGUUGUUCGCCGCGUCAAUAAUGGCGGUUUCCGGCGGCACGGCUAUCAAAGGAUAUAGAUAUGGAUAUAGACAUAGAGUCGACCGACUGCUAAACUGUGAUACAAGUCUGUGAACGCAACACGGAUAUAUCUUGAAAUAUUCGUCAAGGCAAUCGUUAUAUAUCACGUUUUUGCGAAGAGAAACGUGUUAGACAGACCUAAAGUUAGACAAUCAAAAACGUUUCUACGUUUCGUGGGAUGUGGUUCUUCCGCAUUUGUGAAUAGUCAAACAAUUUUCGAUGCGAGACGUAUGUAGUGUUUCUCAAAUGGAGUUGACUGUACAAUCGUGACUUUCGGCUUCGAACAGACUGACUGCAGUUUACACAACAUCUCAGAUUAAGUUUUUAACUGUUCCAUUUAAACGUGCGAUCCUUCCAUCAAAAUUACCAUAUCAUGGCCUCAUCAAAUAGAGGUAUUCAAAUUGGUUCGGCCUGGUAUCAAACUAAUAUUAAGCUAAGACCACAACAUCGUGGCAUACAUCUUGUUACCGAAGAAAUUUUAAAACAAAUUCCAGAACUAUAUCAGUUCUCUGUUGGUCUUUGCCAUAUACAGAUUCUUCAUACAUCAGCUAGUUUAGCAUUAAAUGAAAGCUGGGAUCCUGAUGUAAGAGAUGAUAUAGAAAUGAUGCUUAACAAAAUAAUUCCUGAAGGAUUAGACUAUAGACAUGAUUGCGAAGGUCCAGACGACAUGCCGGCUCAUGUAAAAGCAUGCUUUUUGGGAUCUUCAUUAAGCAUUGCAAUUACGAAUGGAAAGUUAGCUCUUGGUACAUGGCAAGGUAUUUGGUUUUGCGAACAUCGUGAUAAUGCAGGAAGUCGCAAAUUAAUCAUAACGUUGACCGGUUGUCUCAGGGAUUCAGCACGUACCCCUUUAAGUCCCGUCAGCCCUAUUGCUUCUACCAGCAGCUAGGACCAAUCACACCCCCAAAGGUGUGGCAAACGUCAGCUGCACAUAUCUACUUCUAGUAAUUUAAGCUAGCAGCUGCUUAAUUAAGAGUAGAAUCGAAGGAAGAAAUAAGGUACAAUCGAAAUGAAAUAUUGGGAUUUAUUAGCAACAAUAUCCCUUUGAGGAAGAUGUCUGGAUACACUACUUGGAACCUUAGUUCUUCCUCGCUUGUAUCAAACCCACCGAAUACUGUCGCAAAUAACGUUUGUCCCGAUAUCCAGUCAAGUCGAGUUGGCGAGUUUUCUGCAUUCGAGUCCGCAUUCGAGUCCGCAUUCGAGUCCGCAUUCGAGUCCGCAUAGAGAGGCACGCACAUAUUUCAAUGAUCAUACGUACAUGUAAUUAUUUGUGUUUAAUGUGAAAGUAAGAGUCGGUGCAUCAAAAGAGUAUCAUUGAAUUCAUUUAAUAAAAUUAAACAAGGUACAAAAGACAAAGUUGAAUGUUUAAUCUAGUAAUGAUAAAUUUGUGCAAUUGAUUGUGCAAUAGAUUGUGCAAUAAAGUGUUCCAUAAGAAAAGAAUCAUGAGAAAUAUAAGUUAUAUAUACUUUAGAGACAUGCAACGUAAUUACACUAGUAUCCUAUACUCUUUCUCGUUACUCUUAGAUAUUAUAAAUAAUCGAAUGCAUUUUAAUGCGUCCAGUACUCCGAAUUUAAAUAUAUAUAUAUAUAUAUAUAUAUUUCUAUAUAUAUAUAUAUAUAGCUUUAUUUAAGAGACCCUUUUACAAAAAUAGUCAAAUUUGCCAAGAAAAUUAUACAGACAAAUGCUGGUCUGAAAACUUGCAUUCUUUUUUAUAUUGUGCAAGAGAUAACCAGCUUUAAUACAUUCUUUGUUAUAACUUUCUAAUUCGCUGCUUUUCAUAGUGCUGCUAUUUCUAAUGACGUUUCCAUUACAUUGGGGGUGUAAGUAGAAAGGUAUUUCUCAAACAAAUUCAAUAUCAAAAUUCUUUGCUGUGCUAAGGCAUUUCUGCUAGAAGUCAUUACAAAAUCUUACAAAUAAGAUGUGCAUUUACUAAUGUGUGGUGUGUGUGUGCAAACAAAGAACCAUUCCAAAUUCAAAGAUUUGACAGCAAUGUGAUCUAUAUUUUACAUUUGUCAGCAAAACUUGGCAUUUUCAAAUCUAAUUCAUCCUAGUGUAAUAUAAAAUGAUGCAUACAUUCCUGCAGAGAUUUAGCACUGCAAAGAGCUAUAAUAAAAAUAGCAUUCUCUCUCUCUCUCUCUCUCUCUCUCUCUCUCUCAUUACGUUUCUUAUUAACCACAGGUUAUUGUGAACUUGUAAAUGUAUAUCUAAUAUAAAAUUAAGCAAGUUGAUGUUAGUCAGUAAUAUUAUUCAUUUAUAGCGUAAACGAUCGUCCAUUCAUCGAUUAGUGGAUACGCUUUGUAAAAUAUCUAAUCCAAUAAUCCAUAGCUUAAAUAUCAACGAGUUAUAACAUUUCGUCUAUAACAAAAUUAUACACCAGAUUGGUGCACUUCGUGAUACAAUCUCAAAUACUGGAGAUUACGAAAUUCAUGCGCGCGAAUGUGAUUUUGAUCUUCUAAAUAUAUAUCCAAAGGAACAAAAAAAAAAAAAAAACAGCAAAAAAAAAGAAAAAAACAAAUUUUUAUGCCUAUAUGCCGAAUAACAAUUGAGCUGUCUAACUGAAGAUAAGUGAUAAGCAAAUAUAUGUCUGUCAAGCUGCCAAUACUGACAUACAUCAUCGGAGUAACAUGAGCUACUGUACUACAUGUUUACUACAUUUGAUGGUGGUAUAUAAAUUACAGACUUUGCUUCUAAUAAAUAUAAUAAGUGAAUUUUACUGCUCACAGAUUUCUUUUAUAAUUUAAUUUGUAAGCGGAAAUUAUUAGAAAGAAAUAUAACCCUUUGCACUCAUAUUGCUGGCGUGUGACAAUACUAAUUUUCCCUAAAACUCUUGAAUCACUUCUGACGUGACACUGAAGAAACAAACAAGAAUAAUUCUUUGAUUUGUUCGAUUAUUUGAUAGAUCAAAAUGCGUGUGUUGUUAUUUCUUUUGUUAUAUACUCUUCAUACGUUAUAUUUUUUUAUAUUAAAUAAGGGAUUUGUGCAAUAUUGCAUUUUGUUCAUUAAAUAUUGUUAUGUCGAAGGUGAUUGAGGAGUGCAAAGGAUUAAAUAACUGUAGCAAUUGUUUCUGCCUAAGAUACUGAAAUAGGAGAAAAUAAAGUCAGAAUUGCUGACUUGAAGAGAAAUUACAAAAAUGAUUAUAGUGCAAAGAGAUGAAAAAGAAAAAAAAAUCAAAAAAUAAGAAAAACUGAAAUUUUAACAUUUAUAAACAUUUAUAAAGUAUGUUUUUUUUUUUUUAAAGCAAAAUUCUCUUAUCUCUGUGUAAUCCUGCCAGUUGGACAGUUUUAAUAUAAGAUAUGGUAAAGACACAGUUAAAGAAGACAAAUUAAUCUUUUGUUAUUAUGAGCAUAUGGAUGUACAUAAUAUUGAUUCAUCGAAAAAAAAAAAAAAUGCUCUGUGCCAAACAUUCGUUUGGUCCUUUGAAUUGUACAGUUUCUAUCUUCGUCUGAAUGGGAAUUCUGUACAAAAUGAAAAAGUGAAGAAUCUUUUUGAUGAAAAUAGAUACCCAUUAAAAAUCAAUCUACACAAUGUACAUGCAAAAUGCUAAAUUCUACCUAUAUUAUUAUACUUAUAUAUUAUUUUAUUUACGUAGAAGUAAAUGUGCAAGAAAGAUAAAUCCAUUUUGUAAAAGCAUGAAUAUUAAUUGCAACUAAUUCACUAAAUGUAUUAAAUGAAAAAAAAAAAAAAA